UAAAGAGCUCCCGGUUGUAGGGGCGAGG
RNAcentral lists this small RNA (28 nucleotides) under Bombyx mori (domestic silkworm). RNAcentral's name for it is "ovarian small RNA-18291". The record is from RNAcentral. Lineage: Eukaryota; Metazoa; Arthropoda; Insecta; Lepidoptera; Bombycidae.